RNAcentral lists this ribosomal RNA (253 nucleotides) under uncultured bacterium. RNAcentral describes it as "partial 16S ribosomal RNA". It matches the Rfam family "Bacterial small subunit ribosomal RNA", at positions 524 to 776 of the family's 1533-position model. The record is from RNAcentral.
UACGUAGGGCGCAAGCGUUGUCCGGAAUUAUUGGGCGUAAAGAGCUCGUAGGUGGCUUGUCGCGUCCGCUGUGAAAACCCGAGGCUCAACCUCGGGCCUGCAGUGGGUACGGGCAGACUAGAGUGCGGUAGGGGAGACUGGAAUUCCUGGUGUAGCGGUGGAAUGCGCAGAUAUCAGGAGGAACACCGAUGGCGAAGGCAGGUCUCUGGGCCGCAACUGACACUGAGGAGCGAAAGCAUGGGGAGCGAACAGG